GACGAACGCUGGCGGCGUGCUUAACACAUGCAAGUCGAACGAAGAGCGAUGGAAGCUUGCUUCUAUCAAUCUUAGUGGCGAACGGGUGAGUAACGCGUAAUCAACCUUCCCUUCAGAGGGGGACAACAGUUGGAAACGACUGCUAAUACCGCAUACGAUCUAACCUCGGCAUCGAGGAAAGAUGAAAGGUGGCCUCUAUUUAUAAGCUAUCACUGAAGGAGGGGAUUGCGUCUGAUUAGCUAGUUGGAGGGGUAACGGCCCACCAAGGCGAUGAUCAGUAGCCGGUCUGAGAGGAUGAACGGCCACAUUGGGACUGAGACACGGCCCAGACUCCUACGGGAGGCAGCAGUGGGGAAUCUUCCGCAAUGGACGAAAGUCUGACGGAGCAACGCCGCGUGAGUGAUGACGGCCUUCGGGUUGUAAAGCUCUGUUAAUCGGGACGAAAGGCCUUCUUGCGAACAGUUAGAAGGAUUGACGUACCGGAA
Molecule: ribosomal RNA, 485 nt
Filed under: Veillonella parvula
Lineage: Bacteria; Bacillati; Bacillota; Negativicutes; Veillonellales; Veillonellaceae
Description: bacterial SSU rRNA
Rfam family: Bacterial small subunit ribosomal RNA
Source: RNAcentral